Molecule: ribosomal RNA, 456 nt
Filed under: uncultured bacterium
Lineage: Bacteria
Description: bacterial SSU rRNA
Rfam family: Bacterial small subunit ribosomal RNA
Source: RNAcentral
UACGGAAGGCAGCAGUGGGGAAUAUUGCACAAUGGGCGAAAGCCUGAUGCAGCUAUGCCGCGUGUAUGAAGAAGGCCUUAGGGUUGUAAAGUACUUUCAUCGGGGAGGAAAAAACAAAACUAAUAAUUUUAUUUCUUGACGUUACCCGAAAAAGAAGCACCGGCUAACUCCGUGCCAGCAGCCGCGGUAAUACGGAGGGUGCUAGCGUUAAUCAGAAUUACUGGGCGUAAAGAGCACGUAGGUGGUUUUUUUAAGUCAGAUGUGAAAUCCCUGGGCUUAACCUGGAACUGCAUUUUGAAACUGAAAUACUAGAGUAUCGUAGAGGGAGGUAGAAUUCUAGGUGUAGCGGUGAAAUGCGUAGAUAUCUGGAGGAAUACCUGUGGCGAAAGCGGCCUCCUAAACGAAUACUGACACUGAGGUGCGAAAGCGUUGGGGAGCAAACAGGGUUUAGAUACC